AAGAUUUAUAUUUUGGGUGAUUUCAAGAGUUUUGUAAUAGAUCUAAAAGUGAAAUUUUGUGGAUUUAUGGUUAUAGUUGUGUUUAAUAUGUGUUGUAAAUUUGAGCUCAAUCUAAUGGUUAAAUUGAGGAAUAUUGAGAUUUAAGUGGGUCAAGGUCUUAGAAAGUAGAAUUUUAGGUCUAGUGGGGAUUUUUAAGAUUUCUUGCAAUCUACUAGUUGGAUUGGAGU
Molecule: long non-coding RNA, 227 nt
Filed under: Physcomitrium patens
Lineage: Eukaryota; Viridiplantae; Streptophyta; Bryopsida; Funariales; Funariaceae
Description: long non-coding RNA (PPAT_LNC012803)
Source: RNAcentral